CCUACGGGUGGCAGCAGUGAGGAAUAUUGGUCAAUGGGCGCAAGCCUGAUCCAGCCACGUAGCGUGAAGGAUGACUGCCCUCCGGGUUGUAAACUUCUUUUAUAAAGGAAUAGAGUGAGGCCCGUGUGCCUUUUUGUAUGUACUUUAUGAAUAAGGAUCGGCUAACUCCGUGCCAGCAGCCGCGGUAAUACGGAGGAUCCGAGCGUUAUCCGGAUUUAUUGGGUUUUACGGGAGCGUAGAUGGGGUGUUAAGUCAGUUGUGAAAGUUUGCGGCUCAACCGUAAAAUUGAAAGUGAUACUGGCAGUCUUGAGUACAGUUGAGGUAGGCGGAAUUCGUGGUGUAGCGGUGAAAUGCUGAGAUAUCACGAAGAACUCCGAUUGCGAAGGCAGCUUACUAAACUGCCACUGACAUUGAUGCUCGAAAGUGUGGGUAUCAAACAGGAUUAGAUACCCCUGUAGUC
RNAcentral lists this ribosomal RNA (460 nucleotides) under uncultured bacterium. Its description in RNAcentral is "partial 16S ribosomal RNA". It matches the Rfam family "Bacterial small subunit ribosomal RNA", at positions 338 to 795 of the family's 1533-position model. The record is from RNAcentral.